AGAGUUUGAUCCUGGCUCAGAACGAACGCUGGCGGCGCGUUUUAAGCAUGCAAGUCGAGCGGUACCAGCAAUGGGAAAGCGGCGGACGGGUGAGUAACACGUGGGUAAUCUGCCCUCCAGUCGGGGAUAGCCUGUGGAAACACAGGAUAAUACCGGAUUCGUUCGGGACCACACAAGUGGACCCGAGGAAAGGCGCCAAGGCGCCGCUGGGGGAUGAGCCCGCGCCCCUUUAKCUAGAUGGUGAGGUAAAGGCCCWCCAUGGYGAUGAUGGGUAGCCGGCCUGAGAGGGUGAACGGCCACAUUGGAACUGAGACACGGUCCAGACUCCUACGGGAGGCAGCAGCUAAGAAUCUUCCACAAUGGACGAAAGUCUGAUGGAGCGACGCCGCGUGAACGAUGAAGGCCGUGAGGUUGUAAAGUUCUUUUCUGGAGGGGGAAUAAGGAUGGCAGGGAAAUGGCCGUCCGAUGACGUGAAUCCAGGAAUAARCCCCGGCUAACUACGUGCCAGCAGCCGCGGUAACMCGUAAGGGGCGAGCGUUGUUCGGAAUCWUUGGGCGUAAAGGGUGCGCAGGCGCCUGGCAAGUCUUGGUGUAAAAUGGUUUGUGCYUCAACACAUUCAUGCGCUGGAAACUGCUUGGGCUUGRGUCACGAGGGGAKKYCGGAAUUCCAGKKGUWAGGGKKGAAUCUKGUAGAWUCYUGGAAGAACMYCAAUGGCG
RNAcentral lists this ribosomal RNA (716 nucleotides) under uncultured Spirochaetota bacterium. RNAcentral describes it as "uncultured Spirochaetes bacterium partial 16S ribosomal RNA". It matches the Rfam family "Bacterial small subunit ribosomal RNA", at positions 8 to 717 of the family's 1533-position model. The record is from RNAcentral. Lineage: Bacteria; Pseudomonadati; Spirochaetota.